CUUCAUAGGCCUGCUGGGGACAUAUGAAGUGGAUAUGGGUAUCGAAACCGCCUGCUGUCACAAUCUUGUGUUCACCAGCAAUGACAUCGGUGCAGGAGCCUACGAUCAAGUUGGGAUCCACGCCGUCCAUGACAUCUGGGUUACCUGCUUUGCCGAUGCCAACAAUGAUACCAUCCUUGAUACCAAUAUCGGCCUUGUAGAUACCAGACCAGUCGAUAAUCAGAGCGUUUGUGAUGACGGUGUCCAGGGAAUCUUUGUCCGACCGUCCUCCUGCUUGGCCCAUGCCUUCUCGUAG
This 295-nucleotide small RNA is filed under the name Pyrenophora teres f. teres 0-1. Its description in RNAcentral is "5' ureB small RNA". It matches the Rfam family "5' ureB small RNA". The record is from Rfam by way of RNAcentral. Lineage: Eukaryota; Fungi; Ascomycota; Dothideomycetes; Pleosporales; Pleosporaceae.